Molecule: ribosomal RNA, 949 nt
Filed under: uncultured prokaryote
Description: bacterial SSU rRNA
Rfam family: Bacterial small subunit ribosomal RNA
Source: RNAcentral
AUGAGGGGCGCUAUCAUGCAGUCGAGCGAAUGAAGAGGAGCUUGCUCCUCUGAUUUAGCGGCGGACGGGUGAGUAACACGUGGGUAAUCUGCCUGUAAGACGGGGAUAACUCCGGGAAACCGGGGCUAAUACCGGAUAAUAAGAAGAAACGCAUGUUUCUUUUUUGAAAGUCGGUUUCGGCUGACACUUACAGAUGAGCCCGCGGCGCAUUAGCUAGUUGGUGAGGUAACGGCUCACCAAGGCGACGAUGCGUAGCCGACCUGAGAGGGUGAUCGGCCACACUGGGACUGAGACACGGCCCAGACUCCUACGGGAGGCAGCAGUAGGGAAUCUUCGGCAAUGGGCGAAAGCCUGACCGAGCAACGCCGCGUGAGCGAUGAAGGCCUUCGGGUCGUAAAGCUCUGUUGUUAGAGAAGAACAAGUACGAGAGUAACUGCUCGUACCUUGACGGUACCUAACCAGAAAGCCACGGCUAACUACGUGCCAGCAGCCGCGGUAAUACGUAGGUGGCAAGCGUUAUCCGGAAUUAUUGGGCGUAAAGCGCGCGCAGGCGGUCUCUUAAGUCUGAUGUGAAAGCCCACGGCUCAACCGUGGAGGGUCAUUGGAAACUGGGAGACUUGAGUGCAGGAGAGAAAAGUGGAAUUCCACGUGUAGCGGUGAAAUGCGUAGAGAUGUGGAGGAACACCAGUGGCGAAGGCGGCUUUUUGGCCUGUAACUGACGCUGAGGCGCGAAAGCGUGGGGAGCAAACAGGAUUAGAUACCCUGGUAGUCCACGCCGUAAACGAUGAGUGCUAGGUGUUGGGGGGUUCCACCCUCAGUGCUGAAGUUAACACAUUAAGCACUCCGCCUGGGGAGUACGACCGCAAGGUUGAAACUCAAAGGAAUUGACGGGGGCCCGCACAAGCAGUGGAGCAUGUGGUUUAAUUCGAAGCAACGCGAGGAACCUUAC